Molecule: ribosomal RNA, 369 nt
Filed under: uncultured bacterium
Lineage: Bacteria
Description: bacterial SSU rRNA
Rfam family: Bacterial small subunit ribosomal RNA
Source: RNAcentral
ACCCUCGCCCUUUGUUGCCAUCGGGUAAAGCCGGGCACUCUAAGGGGACUGCCAGCGACAAGUUGGAGGAAGGAGAGGAUGACGUCAAGUCAUCAUGGCCUUUAUGCCUAGGGCCACACACGUGCAACAAUGGCCGGUACAGACGGAGGCAAUGCCGAGAGGCGGAGCAAACCCGAGAAAACCGGUCCCAGUUCGGAUUGAGGUCUGCAACUCGACCUCAUGAAGUCGGAAUCGCUAGUAAUCGCAUAUCAGAACGAUGCGGUGAAUACGUUCCCGGGCCUUGUACACACCGCCCGUCACACCACGAAAGUUUGUUGUACCCGAAGUCGGUGCCUUAACCUCGCAAGAGGAGAGAGCCGCCCAAGGUAU